This 716-nucleotide ribosomal RNA is filed under the name uncultured bacterium. RNAcentral describes it as "bacterial SSU rRNA". It matches the Rfam family "Bacterial small subunit ribosomal RNA", at positions 234 to 942 of the family's 1533-position model. The record is from RNAcentral.
AGUCGGAUUAGCUAGUUGGUGGGGUAAAGGCCUACCAAGGCGACGAUCUGUAGCGGGUCUGAGAGGAUGAUCCGCCACACUGGGACUGAGACACGGCCCAGACUCCUACAGGAGGCAGCAGUGGGGAAUAUUGGACAAUGGGGGGAACCCUGAUCCAGCCAUGCCGCGUGUGUGAAGAAGGCCUUAUGGUUGUAAAGCACUUUAAGCGAGGAGGAGGCUACUGAGACUAAUACUCUUGGAUAGUGGACGUUACUCGCAGAAUAAGCACCGGCUAACUCUGUGCCAGCAGCCGCGGUAAUACAGAGGGUGCGAGCGUUGAUCGGAUUUACUGGGCGUAAAGCGUGCGUAGGCGGCUUUUUAAGUCGGAUGUGAAAUCCCCGAGCUUAACUUGGGAAUUGCAUUCGAUACUGGGAAGCUAGAGUAUGGGAGAGGAUGGUAGAAUUCCAGGUGUAGCGGUGAAAUGCGUAGAGAUCUGGAGGAAUACCGAUGGCGAAGGCAGCCAUCUGGCCUAAUACUGACGCUGAGGUACGAAAGCAUGGGGAGCAAACAGGAUUAGAUACCCUGGUAGUCCAUGCCGUAAACGAUGUCUACUAGCCGUUGGGGCCUUUGAGGCUUUAGUGGCGCAGCUAACGCGAUAAGUAGACCGCCUGGGGAGUACGGUCGCAAGACUAAAACUCAAAUGAAUUGACGAAUCGUCGACCUGCAGGCAUGCAAGC